Molecule: long non-coding RNA, 1436 nt
Organism: Corticium candelabrum
Lineage: Eukaryota; Metazoa; Porifera; Homoscleromorpha; Homosclerophorida; Plakinidae
Exons: 6
Source: RefSeq, a predicted model, not a curated record
GGAUAUCCUUAGUAUCCUCUCGAAUACUAAUCGUUCAGUCAUGGUCGUCGACGAAGAACGAAUGAGAGCAGAACUGGAAAAGAUGGCUGCUCAGGCUGACAUGGUGACGAACAAGUCUCUAGAUAGCACGAGAAGGAUGCUGGCAAUGGCAGAGGAAACUAGAAAUAUUGGAACUACCACAAUGGAAACUCUGGAUGAACAGGGAGAGCAACUCGUCCAGAUUGAGGAGGGAUUGGAUCAAAUCAAUGAAGACGUUUGACAUGCCGAGAAAAAUCUCACAGAGAUUGAAAAAUGUUGCGGCCUUUGUCUGUUUUCAUAAUGAGGAAUAUCGAGAAGACGGUUCAAUAUCAGAAAACAUUUGCAGACGGCAAUCGAGACGGAGUAUUCACUGAACAACCAGGUCACGUGCAACAAGAAAACGAUCGAGAAAAUGCUUUGUCAUUCAACAGCAAGCUAUCUCAAGAUGCUAAGCGAUUGACGUUUCUCUUUAGGACAUAACUAAGUGGGCACCUUUAAAAUGAGUGUGUAGAUGUUUGACUCAUUGACUGUCUGGAGACUUUGUACUUUACUUGUUUACUUUUGUGAUUUGAGGUCACAGGCGACAGAGCUGCGUGUGUUGCGUGGGCCAUGGCCACCCCACCUUUUAGAAAAUUGACUUCAACCAGUCAGCGAUUGGCAUAUUUUUCCGAUUAUUGGUCUUGCGAGUUGUAUACACGUCUCUGCCGACAACUGUAGCCUCGGAGUCGGUAACACCUAAGCAUAUACAGGCAUUUCAUUGUCAGUUGAUCACGGAAGUUGUGAACAUGCGGACCCUUUAUCUGACUUGUCAUCUCUGGAGAACUUGCCUGACAAAUGUAACCAACCAGGACACUUCUCGUUUCCUCAAAAAGAGUUUAAGAAACAGGUCAAGGUGAAGGGAAGCUAUCAGCCUUUGUGGUUUGACCAGUGGACUUGGCUACAUCACCGCAAGACAACGAUUCUGUUGCGAGUUUGCCAUGUCUAAGGCCACACUCGCUGAAAUGGUUCUAGUCGUCAUGUAAUGCUGACCAAGCAUUCUAAGUUUGUAGGUUGUUCAGAGCACUGACUGACUAUGUAUGGCAAUUAUGUUUUGUGCAAGUAGCUACAAGAUUGUAUGCAUGAGUAAAAGAGUAGUAGUUUUGGAAUACAAGAUGAAGUUGUAUAAUGCAGAAUUUUUUACUGUCAUAGCUGUAUGGUAGAACCACAUUGAUACAGCUGUUAGUUUUAUUACCACUCUUGUAAGAAAGGGCAUGCCCUCUCAACCUAGUUUUGCCACCCCACCUAAAAUUGCUUUUGUUGCCCUGGAGGUAAUAAUACAAAGACAAAUAUAGCAAUGGAUGUGAAAUAGCUUGGAUUCUAUUGCCUGUCUUCCAUCUAUUACUUGAAUGUUUGGGUUACUCAAAACGUGGAAAUAGAUG